UACGUAGGGGGCAAGCGUUAUCCGGAUUUACUGGGUGUAAAGGGAGCGUAGACGGCGGUGCAAGCCAGAUGUGAAAGCCCGGGGCUCAACCCCGGGACUGCAUUUGGAACUGUGCUGCUAGAGUGUCGGAGAGGCAGGCGGAAUUCCUAGUGUAGCGGUGAAAUGCGUAGAUAUUAGGAAGAACACCAGUGGCGAAGGCGGCCUGCUGGACGAUGACUGACGUUGAGGCUCGAAAGCGUGGGGAGCAAACAGG
RNAcentral lists this ribosomal RNA (253 nucleotides) under uncultured bacterium. RNAcentral's name for it is "partial 16S ribosomal RNA". It matches the Rfam family "Bacterial small subunit ribosomal RNA", at positions 524 to 776 of the family's 1533-position model. The record is from RNAcentral.